RNAcentral lists this ribosomal RNA (393 nucleotides) under uncultured bacterium. Its description in RNAcentral is "partial 16S ribosomal RNA". It matches the Rfam family "Bacterial small subunit ribosomal RNA", at positions 523 to 918 of the family's 1533-position model. The record is from RNAcentral.
AUACGGAGGAUCCGAGCGUUAUCCGGAUUUAUUGGGUUUAAAGGGUGCGCAGGCGGGAGAUUAAGUCGGCGGUGAAAUUUUGCAGCUCAGCUGUAAAAGGGCCUUCGAAAAUGGUUUUCUUGAGUGUAGAUGGAGUAGGCGGAAUUUGUGGUGUAGCGGUGAAAUGCAUAGAUAUCACGAGGAACUCCGAUUGCGCAGGCAGCUUACUAAACUACUACUGACGCUCAGGCACGAAGGCGUGGGGAUCAAACAGGAUUAGAUACCCUGGUAGUCCACGCAGUAAACGAUGAUUACUAGCUGUUUGCGAUACAAUGUAAGCGGCUGAGCGAAAGCGUUAAGUAAUCCACCUGGGGAGUACGUUCGCAAGAAUGAAACUCAAAGGAAUUGACGGGG